Molecule: ribosomal RNA, 253 nt
Filed under: uncultured bacterium
Lineage: Bacteria
Description: partial 16S ribosomal RNA
Rfam family: Bacterial small subunit ribosomal RNA
Source: RNAcentral
UACGGGGGGGGUAAGCGUUGUUCGGAAUUACUGGGCGUAAAGGGCUCGUAGGCGGCCAACUAAGUCGGAUGUGAAAUCCCCAGGCUUAACCUGGGAACUGCAUCCGAUACUGGAUGGCUUGAAUCCGGGAGAGGGAUGCAGAAUUCCAGGUGUAGCGGUGAAAUGCGUAGAUAUCUGGAGGAAUACCGGUGGCGAAGGCGGCAUCCUGGACCGGCAUUGACGCUGAUGAGCGAAAGCUAGGGGAGCAAACGGG